CCUUACCUGGUCUGUAGGCUCUCUCUCAUUUGCCUCACUUACCUGAUCUAUAGUCUACCACCAUCCCUCACUUACCUGAUCUGUAGGCUGUCUCUGCAGUAGCUGGCUGCAUGUGUUGCUCCCCUGCGGAUUCAGUCAGGAGAGAGAAGAAGGGAUAAAAUGUAGCUUCGUAUCCCUGUCUCUCUCUUCAUACACAGUAUUGCACUGUAUUUUCAAUCUCACACGAAAAAUAGCAGAACAAGCUGAAAACUCCAGGGACGCCCAUGCUUAAAGGAUUUAACUUGGAAUUCAAUUGUCUUAAGUGAGUUUGGAGCACAUCUAAACUCUAUUAGCUGUACCAAACUGUUACGAAGAUAUCAACUAAAGGAAGAAGUUAGUCUUCGUGGAGGUCAGAUGAUUGCUGGUAUAUAGGUUUCAUGAUGGUAUCAGAAGUGGAAUGCCUCGGCUUUCAGUGGCAAGCAACAUUUAAAGGAACACUCCAGGUACCACAAUAGCUUCAUCUAAAUUACGUUAUGGUGCCAGGAAGUCCGUGGAGGCAUUCUUACCUCAAGUUGCUGUCAGCUGUCUCCUCCCGUCCCCCUCCCGUCCCCCUCCCCCAUAUGCUGCAUCCACGCAUCCGAC
Molecule: non-coding RNA, 621 nt
Organism: Pelobates cultripes (western spadefoot toad)
Lineage: Eukaryota; Metazoa; Chordata; Amphibia; Anura; Pelobatidae
Source: the annotation of a GenBank genome assembly